UACGAAGGGGGCUAGCGUUGCUCGGAAUUACUGGGCGUAAAGCGCACGUAGGCGGCUUUCUAAGUCGGAGGUGAAAUCCUGGAGCUCAACUCCAGAACUGCCUUCGAUACUGGAGAGCUUGAGUCCGGGAGAGGUGAGUGGAACUGCGAGUGUAGAGGUGAAAUUCGUAGAUAUUCGCAAGAACACCAGUGGCGAAGGCGGCUCACUGGCCCGGUACUGACGCUGAGGUGCGAAAGCGUGGGGAGCAAACAGGG
Molecule: ribosomal RNA, 254 nt
Filed under: uncultured bacterium
Lineage: Bacteria
Description: partial 16S ribosomal RNA
Rfam family: Bacterial small subunit ribosomal RNA
Source: RNAcentral